RNAcentral lists this ribosomal RNA (423 nucleotides) under uncultured bacterium. RNAcentral's name for it is "bacterial SSU rRNA". It matches the Rfam family "Bacterial small subunit ribosomal RNA", at positions 207 to 622 of the family's 1533-position model. The record is from RNAcentral.
AAGACCUUGCGCUUUUGGAGCGGCCGAUGCCUGAUUAGCUUGUUGGUAAGGUAAAAGCUUACCAAGGCUUCGAUCAGUAGCUGGUCUGAGAGGACGGCCAGCCACACUGGGACUGAGACACGGCCCAGACUCCUACGGGAGGCAGCAGUGGGGAAUUUUGGACAAUGGGCGCAAGCCUGAUCCAGCCAUGCCGCGUGAGUGAAGAAGGCCUUCGGGUUGUAAAGCUCUUUCAGCCGGGAAGAAAAGGUUGCGAUUAAUAAUCGCAAUUUAUGACGGUACCGGGAGAAGAAGCACCGGCUAACUACGUGCCAGCAGCCGCGGUAAUACGUAGGGUGCGAGCGUUAAUCGGAAUUACUGGGCGUAAAGGGUGCGCAGGCGGUUUUGUAAGUCAGAUGUGAAAUCCCCGGGCUUAACCUGGGAACU